AGCAAAAUAAAAAAGGGGGAAAAAAAAAUGUAAAACGCACAACAAAAAAUCAAAGGAGGAAGCUGAAGGCCCUAUACACACAUAACCUACAAAAAUGGAUCUAUCGUCACCACUUUCUCUCUCUAUUGUCUGAUCCCCUACUUCCUCCAAACGGUAUCGUUUCGAUAGAGCUUCUUCUUCAUACCCAGAAUUUUCUGGUUCGAUCGGUAAAUGUUUAGUUCUAUCACAGUGCAAGGAUAAGAAACAUUUUUAACUUGUCCAACAAAUGGCUUCUGUGGGUGUGGCACCUACUGGUAUGAGAGAAGCUAGUGGCCAUAAUGCUGGUGUUGAUAAAUUACCUGAGGAGAUGAAUGAUAUGAAAAUUAGGGAUGACAAAGAAAUGGAAGCAACAGUAGUUGAUGGCAAUGGUACAGAGACAGGUCAUAUUAUAGUUACAACAAUUGGUGGUAGAAAUGGCCAGCCAAAGCAGACAAUAAGCUACAUGGCUGAGCGUGUUGUUGGGCAUGGAUCAUUCGGGGUUGUUUUCCAGGCAAAAUGUU
This 539-nucleotide unclassified non-coding RNA is filed under the name Hevea brasiliensis (rubber tree). Lineage: Eukaryota; Viridiplantae; Streptophyta; Magnoliopsida; Malpighiales; Euphorbiaceae. The record is from RNAcentral.